This is a non-coding RNA of Pogona vitticeps (central bearded dragon), 458 nucleotides long. NCBI's taxonomy places the organism in Eukaryota, Metazoa, Chordata, Lepidosauria, Squamata, Agamidae. The record is from RefSeq and is a predicted model, not a curated record.
UAUUGUUAUUGUUGUGGUUUAUGAGGAGGAGGAGGAGGAUGCUUGUGGAAGUUGGAAGCCUUUGGAAAACAGCCCGGAGGAAGUGGACCUGUGCUCUCACAGAAGCGAGGACGCUGACGGCCAGAUAGAAGUUAGAUACACUUGGCUGGCCGGGGUGACGCCUCAUCUCUGAAGGUUUGAUGGAGCUCCUGCCUCUUGUGUGCAUCCUCAGCAUCACAGAUGACAACAGCAGCUUUUUGAACAUCUGGAGGCACUUCACAGAGGCAAUCUUAGAGCUGAGCAGAGAUUUCUUCCACAGCACCAUCCUUGAAGAAGAGGGAAACAACUCUCAGCUUUGAAUCGGAGGAAAAUAAUGGUAGGGGAUGGGAAUGCCAAGGUUUUGCACCAGUGGAACAAACAGCGAAGCACGCCUAAAACUGAGAUGGAAACAAAUGGAAAUACAUAUAUAAAAGAAUGUG